GCCCUAUAAGUUAUAACUCUAUCUUCAACAUACAAAUCCCUUCAUAUCCAACCAAAGCUUCCAUUUUCGCGAAGGUAGUUACAGUUGCAGACAUGGCAGCUUCACUCUCAUCCCUCACUUCCUCCUUCUCUUCACUCUCCUUCUCUUCUCACGUUUCCCAAAGACCCCACGCGCUCACGCUCCCUCCCUCGCGCGUCUCUAAAUCAACUACAUUCCCCUCCCUCGCUGUCUCUGCCUCUUCCGCCGCCGCUGCCGUUUCUCCGGCGGAGCCAGAAACUGUUGACCUCAGGCGCCUCGUCAAGUCCAGACUUCCCGGUGGAUUCGCCGCUCAAACCAUCAUUGGUACCGGUCGCCGGAAGUCUGCCAUAGCUCGUGUUGUUCUUCAAGAAGGAACCGGGAAAUUCAUCAUCAAUUACCGUGAUGCUAAGGAAUAUCUUCAGGGAAACCCAUUGUGGCUUCAAUACAUUAGGGUUCCCUUAAUAACUCUUGGAUAUGAAAAUAGUUACGAUGUUUUCAUCAAAGCCGAGGGUGGUGGCCUCUCUGGUCAAGCGCAAGCAAUUUCCCUCGGUAUUGCCCGCGCCCUGCUGAAGGUGAGUGAAGAUCACAGACAACCUUUGAGACAAGAAGGGCUUCUGACUAGAGAUUCUAGAGUGGUUGAAAGGAAGAAACCUGGUCUGAAGAAAGCUCGUAAAGCACCUCAGUAUUCCAAACGUUGAGGUCGAAAUCAUACAUGCCAAGCUUAUGCCUGUUAUAAAGGAAGGGUAUUAAUAACCUUGGCUCUCAUUUAUACGAACCACCAUGGGACUUUUGUCAAAUAUUUGCAAUUUUGCAUGAGUUUGUUAUUAUAUAUAAAGGUAGUAAGUUACCAUGCUUGUGGUGAGCAUAUGAAAUGCAUUCACUCACAUGAACAUUCUCUACUUACCAGCUUUAUAAGGCAUAUAGCCAUAUACUACACGGUCCUCGAUUAAAGGAUUUGAUUUGAUAAAUGGCAGGGAUCCUCAAUCUCAA
Molecule: non-coding RNA, 1008 nt
Organism: Arachis ipaensis
Lineage: Eukaryota; Viridiplantae; Streptophyta; Magnoliopsida; Fabales; Fabaceae
Source: RefSeq, a predicted model, not a curated record